Electrophorus electricus (electric eel) is the source of this 80-nucleotide microRNA precursor. NCBI's taxonomy places the organism in Eukaryota, Metazoa, Chordata, Actinopteri, Gymnotiformes, Gymnotidae. The record is from Ensembl.
GGAGGUAGAAGUGAGAGAGUUAGUGUUUGUUGCCAGAGUAAGGAACACCUGUUUCUUACUCUGACAGCAAAACACAGUGC